Long non-coding RNA from Pongo abelii (Sumatran orangutan), 1787 nucleotides. The record is from Ensembl. Lineage: Eukaryota; Metazoa; Chordata; Mammalia; Primates; Hominidae.
CCAGUAUCUUGUCCUUAGUAAUUAUUUGCUUUUCCUGCAGUUCAGUUUCUCCUUGGAACUCUAACAGGACUAACUGGAAAAAUACUUUGACCAUAGCUCUAGUACUUCCAAAUAAAUUCAUAUCUAGAUUUUCAAACAAAGCCCCAAGAUGAAGUCUAAUUCUGAAAAUAUCUCACAAUUUUUGAAUGUUCUUUUUAUCUUACCGACCUAACUUCUCUUCUCCCUCCCAACUUGGCGUCCCACACCUUCCAUUUCAUUUUGGCAAUAAUUAUAAUCACAUCCAUUUGACUUUGGUUAUGACAUCUUCCUUUCAGGAUGAUGGAAUUAGAUAUGCAGCCUGUCUUUGAGUGAGACUGGUCACCAUCAAAGGAGUUUUUUCUAAGUGACGUGACUAGAAGUUGAAAUCUACUUCCCCGCUAAAGGGCACAGGGGUGGUGUACAAAGAAAGCUACCUUCCCAGAGCAAGCAGGCUGCAUUUUAGCUAUAGAAGUGACCUGCUGUGACACAGUGCUCUCUUCUGUGGGCUUAAUGGCUCCUUUGCUAUGAAGUGGCAAAUUACAUGUAGAGUGUCUCCUUCCUUUUCAGAGAACAGUUAAUCAAGGCAAAUCAGCAAGCCCCCAAAGUGCUGUAAUUUAACAUCAUGAUUACUACCUUCAAAGCUAUAUAUUUUGCAUGCUUUAAAAUCACCUAACUUGGACUGCUUGAAUUAUAUUGGCUUUUAGAACCGAAAUUGUAACUAUGUAUUAUAUUUCAUGGGAGAUAUAUUUUAUAAGCUUUUUGGCUUUCUUUUUUCCCACAGCAACUCUAAUGAAGGAUGAAUCCCCUUUUUAAAAAGUUUUUGUUGUUUAUUUGAUUUUGGGUUAGGAGGGAUAAUAGAGACGUCCAUUUAAAAAUUAUUUUUAGAAGCUAAAGAAAGUAAUAAUGCUUCCUGUGAAUUGUCCUUUACUGGCAUCUUUGUUUUCCUUGAUAUUAGUAAAUUUGGUGUAAUACGUGGGGCUUCCAUAUUUCAAAGUGGAAGCUUUCUUCUCUGAAGUCGAUACAUGGUUUUGAAAUACUAGAGCUUUGGUCAAUAUUUCCUUCCCUAUAUGUCACAGAGGACACCACUGAGAACUAUAUGCAUAGGACUUCAAAAUACAAAAUUAGCAGGACCUUACAGUCAGCUUCCUAAUGGCUAGUUUUUCCUCUUUAUAUUACAAUUUUUGUUUUAUAAAUCAUUUCUUUCCUGAUAUUUCCACCACUUUUCAGAGUCAUCUACAAAAUUUUUCUUUCCUCAAGAAAAGAGUUCCUUUUGCCUUAUUCCUUAUGCCUUCCCCACUGGUAUUGAGGGUUUUGAUAAUAAAUUGGUAGGAAAAAAAAGUACCUCCUAGAAGGAAGCCUUCCCCAUCAUUCCCAGGUGCCAACUGCUAAGCAGAUAUAUUCCAAAAAUGGUAACUGUAAUGUGCACACUGUUGGUUAUUUUUAAUAAGCUUCUUCCUACUAGAACAUUUUAUUUUCCUUGUUCACCAUACAAUCAUGUACUCUUUAACAGAAAUUGCUUUUAAAAGAUUCUGGAACUAUCUUUAAAAAAACUUUAUUAAUAAUCAUGUAUUUUUACUGAUCACAUUUUGAAAUGCCUAAAAGACUUUAUUGUUCUAAUUAUCCAGAUGUACCUUUGUAAAAUAGCUCUUUUAUGAAUUAGCUGAUAAGGCUGUAUGUUUCUGGAACAAAAUAUUGGUCAUCUAAAAACUUUCUGUUUUCUGGGGUCUGGGAAAAUAGAAAAUAAGAGUUCAAAUAUUAAAUAAGCUUAA